RNAcentral lists this ribosomal RNA (484 nucleotides) under uncultured bacterium. RNAcentral describes it as "partial 16S ribosomal RNA". It matches the Rfam family "Bacterial small subunit ribosomal RNA", at positions 30 to 507 of the family's 1533-position model. The record is from RNAcentral.
AUUGAACGCUGGCGGCAGGCCUAACACAUGCAAGUCGAGCGGAUGAAGGGAGCUUGCUCCUGGAUUCAGCGGCGGACGGGUGAGUAAUGCCUAGGAAUCUGCCUGGUAGUGGGGGAUAACGGCCGGAGACGGGCGCUAAUACCGCAUACGUCCUGAGGGAGAAAGGGGGGGAUCUUCGGACCUCACGCUAUCAGAUGAGCCUAGGUCGGAUUAGCUAGGUGGUGGGGUAAAGGCCUACCAAGGCGACGAUCCGUAACUGGUCUGAGAGGAUGAUCAGUCACACUGGAACUGAGACACGGUCCAGACUCCUACGGGAGGCAGCAGUGGGGAAUAUUGGACAAUGGGCGCAAGCCUGAUCCAGCAAUGCCGCGUGUGUGAAGAAGGUCUUCGGAUUGUAAAGCACUUUAAGUUGGGAGGAAGGGCAGUAAGUUAAUACCUUGCUGUUUUGACGUUACCAACAGAAUAAGCACCGGCUAACUUCGUG